UGGACCAGCGAUGACCACUGGUGGGGUCUGAGUCAUGGACGAUGAAUAGUGUAUGUCUGGAACUCAGAGGUCCUA
This is a small nucleolar RNA of Loxodonta africana (African savanna elephant), 75 nucleotides long. Ensembl annotates it as small nucleolar RNA SNORD113/SNORD114 family. NCBI's taxonomy places the organism in Eukaryota, Metazoa, Chordata, Mammalia, Proboscidea, Elephantidae. The record is from Ensembl.